Molecule: long non-coding RNA, 123 nt
Organism: Parus major (Great Tit)
Lineage: Eukaryota; Metazoa; Chordata; Aves; Passeriformes; Paridae
Exons: 3
Source: RefSeq, a predicted model, not a curated record
CCCCCAGGUGUGCACAGGUGAGUACAGGUGUGCACACAGGUACCCCCAGGUGUUCCCAGGUGUUCCCAGGUGUGCACACAGGUACCCCCAGGUGUUCCCAGGUGUGCACACAGGUGAGCACAG